UAGUAGCGGCGAGCGAACGGGGAGCAGCCCUUAAGCUGUUUAGAAUUUAGUGGAAUCCUUUGGGAAGAGGAGCGAUACAAGGUGAUAGCCCUGUACACGACGGAUUCUUUACAGUGAAAUCGAGUAGGUCGGGACACGUGUUAUCUUGACUGAAUGUGGGGGGACCAUCCUCCAAGGCUAAAUACUACUAACUGACCGAUAGUGAACCAGUACCGUGAGGGAAAGGCGAAAAGAACCCCUGUGAGGGGAGUGAAAUAGAACCUGAAACCGUAUGCGUACAAGCAGUAGGAGCAGACUUGUUCUGUGACUGCGUACCUUUUGUAUAAUGGGUCAGCGACUUAUGUUCAGUGGCGAGGUUAACCGUUUAGGGGAGCCGUAGGGAAACCGAGUCUGAAUAGGGCGAUUUAGUCGCUGGGCAUAGACCCGAAACCGGGCGAUCUAUCCAUGAGCAGGUUGAAGGUGCCGUAACAGGCACUGGAGGACCGAACCCACUGUCGUUGAAAAGCCAGGGGAUGACUUGUGGAUCGGAGUGAAAGGCUAAUCAAGCCCGGAGAUAGCUGGUUCUCCUCGAAAGCUAUUUAGGUAGCGCCUCGGACGAAUACCACAGGGGGUAGAGCACUGUUUCGGCUAGGGGGUCAUCCCGACUUACCAACCCGAUGCAAACUCCGAAUACCUGUGAGUACUAUCCGGGAGACACACGGCGGGUGCUAACGUCCGUCGUGAAGAGGGAAACAACCCAGACCGCCAGCUAAGGUCCCCAAGUACCAGUUAAGUGGGAAACGAUGUGGGAAGGCUCAGACAGCUAGGAGGUUGGCUUAGAAGCAGCCAUCCUUUAAAGAUAGCGUAACAGCUCACUGGUCUAAAUAAGUUAUCCUGCGGCGAAGAUGUAACGGGGCUCAAGCCAUGAGCCGAAGCUUAGGAUGCCGUAAGGCAUGGUAGCAGAGCGUAGUGUG
RNAcentral lists this ribosomal RNA (953 nucleotides) under uncultured Chlorophyceae. RNAcentral's name for it is "partial Bacterial large subunit ribosomal RNA". It matches the Rfam family "Bacterial large subunit ribosomal RNA", at positions 241 to 1245 of the family's 2925-position model. Lineage: Eukaryota; Viridiplantae; Chlorophyta; Chlorophyceae. The record is from RNAcentral.